This 75-nucleotide transfer RNA is filed under the name Luteitalea sp. RNAcentral describes it as "tRNA-Val". It matches the Rfam family "tRNA". Rfam says of the family: Transfer RNA (tRNA) molecules are approximately 80 nucleotides in length. Their secondary structure includes four short double-helical elements and three loops (D, anti-codon, and T loops). The record is from RNAcentral. Lineage: Bacteria; Pseudomonadati; Acidobacteriota; Vicinamibacteria; Vicinamibacterales; Vicinamibacteraceae.
GGGCGGUUAGCUCAGUGGUAGAGUACCGGUCUUACACACCGGCUGUCACAGGUUCGAGUCCUGUACCGCCCACCA